Molecule: ribosomal RNA, 254 nt
Filed under: uncultured bacterium
Lineage: Bacteria
Description: partial 16S ribosomal RNA
Rfam family: Bacterial small subunit ribosomal RNA
Source: RNAcentral
CGGACGGGUGAGUAACGCGUGGGCAACCUGCCCUUAUCUGGGGGAUAACAGUGGAAACGACUGAUAAUACCGCAUAAUAUGGUUUGAAGGCAUCUUCUUUCCAUCAAAGAUUUAUCGGAUAAGGAUGGGCCCGCGUCUGAUUAGCUUGUUGGUGAGGUAACGGCUCACCAAGGCGACGAUCAGUAGCCGACCUGAGAGGGUGAUCGGCCACAUUGGAACUGAGACACGGUCCAAACUCCUACGGGAGGCAGCAG